Long non-coding RNA from Lagenorhynchus albirostris (white-beaked dolphin), 1099 nucleotides. RefSeq lists it as uncharacterized. The record is from RefSeq and is a predicted model, not a curated record. Lineage: Eukaryota; Metazoa; Chordata; Mammalia; Artiodactyla; Delphinidae. The transcript is spliced from 3 exons.
UCCCAAGCCUGCUCAUUCUUUACGCAGAUGUCCUUCAGCCCUCAGAGGUAGCCCUUCUAGACCCUGUGCUCAAGACAGCUUGUGUGGGCCUCUCUGGUGGGGGUGCUGUGACCGCCCGAGGCCUGGCCGGCCCCCAACCGGCCUCAUCUCACUCAUGUUCCUCAGGCUGAGGGAUGGAGCCCAGGGAAUUGGUGGAUCUCUGAGCCUUCCAGUGACUCCUGGAUGUGGCCAGCUCUGCCCUGCAGUCUCUCUGAGUAGGCUCCAGACCUAGGCUGGCUCUCUCCUGAGUCACUCUACUGCAUGGCCAUCAACGACUUGGCACCUCAACUGGACAGACGAGCCCGGGGGCACUCACAGAUUGUUGGGUACAUGAAUCCCUGCUGGUGGAGGCCUCCGUCUUUCUCUAGGGAAAAAGAAGUCAUGGACAAGCAGCCUUGGCUCCUCAGGGCCAGGCGCAUGAGUGCUCAGAAAUGCGCUAAACGUGUGGUGAAGGAAGGAAAAGGCUCUGGAUUUCCUACACUGCUCAUGGGACACAAAAUAGAAUGGUUGCCAGGGGCUGGGGGGAGUGGACAGUUACUGUCUAAUGGUGCAGAGCUUCAAUGUGAGAAGAUAAAACGUUCUGGAGAUGGUGAUGGUUGCACAAGAAUAUGAAUAUAGGGAUUUCCUUGGUGGCGCAGUGGUUGAGAAUCUGCUGCCAAUGCAGGGGACACGGAUUCGGGCCCUGGUCCAGGAAGAUCCCACAUGCUGCAGAGCAACUAAGCCCAUGCGCCACAACGACUGAGCCCAUGUGCCACAACUACUGAGCCUGUGUGCCACAACUACUGAAGCCCGUGCACCUAGAGCCUGUGCUCCACAACAAGAGAAGCCACCGCAAUGAGAAACCCGCGCACUGCAAUGAAGAGUAGCCCCCACUCGCCGCAACUGGAGAAAGCCCACACGCAACAGCAAAGACCCAAUGCAGCCAAAAAUAAAUAAAUAAAUAAUUUUAUAAAUAAUUUUUAAAAAGAAUAUGAAUAUACAUUUAAAAACAAACUUUAUUUUAAAAAAUGGUUAAAAUGGUGAAUUUUAUGUUAUGUAUAUUUUACCACAAUUUAAAAGA